AACCGUAUGCGUACAAGCAGUGGGAGCCUACUUGUUAGGUGACUGCGUACCUUUUGUAUAAUGGGUCAGCGACUUAUAUUCAGUGGCAAGCUUAACCGUAUAGGGUAGGCGUAGCGAAAGCGAGUCUUAAUAGGGCGUUUAGUCGCUGGGUAUAGACCCGAAACCGGGCGAUCUAUCCAUGAGCAGGUUGAAGGUUAGGUAACACUGACUGGAGGACCGAACCCACUCCCGUUGAAAAGGUAGGGGAUGACUUGUGGAUCGGAGUGAAAGGCUAAUCAAGCUCGGAGAUAGCUGGUUCUCCUCGAAAGCUAUUUAGGUAGCGCCUCAUGUAUCACUCUGGGGGGUAGAGCACUGUUUCGGCUAGGGGGUCAUCCCGACUUACCAAACCGAUGCAAACUCCGAAUACCCAGAAGUGCCGAGCAUGGGAGACACACGGCGGGUGCUAACGUCCGUCGUGAAAAGGGAAACAACCCAGACCGCCAGCUAAGGUCCCAAAGUUGUGGUUAAGUGGUAAACGAUGUGGGAAGGCUUAGACAGCUAGGAGGUUGGCUUAGAAGCAGCCAUCCUUUAAAGAAAGCGUAAUAGCUCACUAGUCGAGUCGGCCUGCGCGGAAGAUGUAACGGGGCUCAAACCACACACCGAAGCUGCGGGUGUCACGUAAGUGACGCGGUAGAGGAGCGUUCUGUAAGCCUGUGAAGGUGAGUUGAGAAGCUUGCUGGAGGUAUCAGAAGUGCGAAUGCUGACAUGAGUAACGACAAUGGGUGUGAAAAACACCCACGCCGAAAGACCAAGGGUUCCUGCGCAACGUUAAUCGACGCAGGGUUAGUCGGUUCCUAAGGCGAGGCUGAAAAGCGUAGUCGAUGGGAAACAGGUUAAUAUUCCUGUACUUCUGGUUACUGCGAUGGAGGGACGGAGAAGGCUAGGCCAGCUUGGCGUUGGUUGUCCAAGUUUAAGGUGGUAGGCUGAAAUCUUAGGUAAAUCCGGGGUUUCAAGGCCGAGAGCUGAUGACGAGUCGUCUUUUAGAUGACGAAGUGGUUGAUGCCAUGCUUCCAAGAAAAGCUUCUAAGCUUCAGGUAACCAGGAACCGUACCCCAAACCGACACAGGUGGUCGGGUAGAGAAUACCAAGGCGCUUGAGAGAACUCGGGUGAAGGAACUAGGCAAAAUGGCACCGUAACUUCGGGAGAAGGUGCGCCGGCUAGGGUGAAGGAUUUACUCCGUAAGCUCUGGCUGGUCGAAGAUACCAGGCCGCUGCGACUGUUUAUUAAAAACACAGCACUCUGCAAACACGAAAGUGGACGUAUAGGGUGUGACGCCUGCCCGGUGCCGGAAGGUUAAUUGAUGGGGUUAGCGCAAGCGAAGCUCUUGAUCGAAGCCCCGGUAAACGGCGGCCGUAACUAUAACGGUCCUAAGGUAGCGAAAUUCCUUGUCGGGUAAGUUCCGACCUGCACGAAUGGCGUAACGAUGGCGGCGCUGUCUCCACCCGAGACUCAGUGAAAUUGAAAUCGCUGUGAAGAUGCAGUGUAUCCGCGGCUAGACGGAAAGACCCCGUGAACCUUUACUGUAGCUUUGCACUGGACUUUGAGCCUGCUUGUGUAGGAUAGGUGGGAGGCUUUGAAGCGUGGACGCCAGUUCGCGUGGAGCCAUCCUUGAAAUACCACCCUGGCAUGCUUGAGGUUCUAACUCUGGUCCGUGAUCCGGAUCGAGGACAGUGUAUGGUGGGCAGUUUGACUGGGGCGGUCUCCUCCUAAAGAGUAACGGAGGAGUACAAAGGUGCGCUCAGACCGGUCGGAAAUCGGUCGCAGAGUAUAAAGGCAAAAGCGCGCUUGACUGCGAGACAGACACGUCGAGCAGGUACGAAAGUAGGUCUUAGUGAUCCGGUGGUUCUGUAUGGAAGGGCCAUCGCUCAACGGAUAAAAGGUACUCCGGGGAUAACAGGCUGAUACCGCCCAAGAGUUCAUAUCGACGGCGGUGUUUGGCACCUCGAUGUCGGCUCAUCACAUCCUGGGGCUGAAGCCGGUCCCAAGGGUAUGGCUGUUCGCCAUUUAAAGUGGUACGCGAGCUGGGUUUAGAACGUCGUGAGACAGUUCGGUCUCUAUCUGCCGUGGACGUUUGAGAUUUGAGAGGGGCUGCUCCUAGUACGAGAGGACCGGAGUGGACGAACCUCUGGUGUUCCGGUUGUCACGCCAGUGGCAUUGCCGGGUAGCUAUGUUCGGAAAAGAUAACCGCUGAAAGCAUCUAAGCGGGAAACUUGCCUCAAGAUGAGAUCUCACUGGGAACUUGAUUCCCCUGAAGGGCCGUCGAAGACUACGACGUUGAUAGGCUGGGUGUGUAAGCGUUGUGAGGCGUUGAGCUAACCAGUACUAAUUGCCCGUGAGGCUUGACCAU
This 2387-nucleotide ribosomal RNA is filed under the name Pseudomonas aeruginosa. RNAcentral describes it as "partial 23S ribosomal RNA". It matches the Rfam family "Bacterial large subunit ribosomal RNA", at positions 554 to 2925 of the family's 2925-position model. The record is from RNAcentral. Lineage: Bacteria; Pseudomonadati; Pseudomonadota; Gammaproteobacteria; Pseudomonadales; Pseudomonadaceae.